RNAcentral lists this ribosomal RNA (514 nucleotides) under uncultured bacterium. RNAcentral's name for it is "partial 16S ribosomal RNA". It matches the Rfam family "Bacterial small subunit ribosomal RNA", at positions 28 to 523 of the family's 1533-position model. The record is from RNAcentral.
GAUGAACGCUGGCGGCGUGCCUAAUACAUGCAAGUCGAGCGCGAGAGUGAGGAGCUUGCUCCUCAUAAUCGAGCGGCGGACGGGUGAGUAACACGUAGGCAACCUACCCUUGAGAUUGGGAUAACUACCGGAAACGGUAGCUAAUACCGGAUACGACUUUUCCACACAAGUGGAAUGGUUAAAAGGCGGAUUUAUCUGCCGCUCAUGGAUGGGCCUGCGGUGCAUUAGCUAGUUGGGGAGGUAGUGGCUCACCAAGGCGACGAUGCAUAGCCGACCUGAGAGGGUGAUCGGCUACACUGGGACUGAGACACGGCCCAGACUCCUACGGGAGGCAGCAGUAGGGAAUCUUCCGCAAUGGACGCAAGUCUGACGGAGCAACGCCGCGUGAGUGAUGAAGGGUUUCGGCUCGUAAAACUCUGUUGUUAAGGAAGAACACUUGAGGUAGUAACUGGCCUUGAGAUGACGGUACUUAACCAGAAAGCCACGGCUAACUACGUGCCAGCAGCCGCGGUAA